CCUACGGGAGGCAGCAGUGAGGAAUAUUGGUCAAUGGACGAGAGUCUGAACCAGCCAAGUAGCGUGAAGGAUGACUGCCCUAUGGGUUGUAAACUUCUUUUAUAUGGGAAUAAAACGUUCCACGUGUGGGAUUUUGUAUGUACCAUAUGAAUAAGGAUCGGCUAACUCCGUACCAGCAGCCGCGGUAAUACGGAGGAUCCGAGCGUUAUCCGGAUUUAUUGGGUUUAAAGGGAGCGUAGGUGGAUUGUUAAGUCAGUUGUGAAAGUUUGCGGCUCAACCGUAAAAUUGCAGUUGAAACUGGCAGUCUUGAGUACAGUAGAGGUGGGCGGAAUUCGUGGUGUAGCGGUGAAAUGCUUAGAUAUCACGAAGAACUCCGAUUGCGAAGGCAGUUCACUGGACUGCAACUGACACUGAGGCUCGAAAGUGUGGGUAUCAAACAGGAUUAGAUACCCGUGUAGUC
RNAcentral lists this ribosomal RNA (460 nucleotides) under uncultured bacterium. RNAcentral's name for it is "partial 16S ribosomal RNA". It matches the Rfam family "Bacterial small subunit ribosomal RNA", at positions 338 to 795 of the family's 1533-position model. The record is from RNAcentral.